Molecule: ribosomal RNA, 253 nt
Filed under: uncultured bacterium
Lineage: Bacteria
Description: partial 16S ribosomal RNA
Rfam family: Bacterial small subunit ribosomal RNA
Source: RNAcentral
UACGAAGGGGGCUAGCGUUGUUCGGAAUUACUGGGCGUAAAGGGCGCGUAGGCGGAUAGUUUAGUCAGAGGUAACAGCCCAGGGCUCACCCUUGGACCUGCCUUUGAUACUGGCUAUCUUGAGUACGGGAGAGGUGUGUGGAACUCCGAGUGUAGAGGUGAAAUUCGUAGAUAUUCGGAAGAACACCAGUGGCGAAGGCGACACACUGGCCCGUUACUGACGCUGAGGCGCGAAAGCGUGGGGAGCAAACAGG